This is a long non-coding RNA of Tripterygium wilfordii, 1702 nucleotides long. RefSeq lists it as uncharacterized. The transcript is spliced from 3 exons. NCBI's taxonomy places the organism in Eukaryota, Viridiplantae, Streptophyta, Magnoliopsida, Celastrales, Celastraceae. The record is from RefSeq and is a predicted model, not a curated record.
UCGAGUUAUCGGAUCAUUCGAUAACUCGAAAAAGUGUUUAAAGUGUUGACUCGGGAUUCGACCCUAGUCUCCGGGUCGGGUUUCAACCAGACCAAUAAAAUGACUAUUGGUUGGCCCUAUAAAUACGGGUCGGGCCUGGUCAUCGUUGGUUUGGGUUUAAAAGCCCGAUGGACACCUAAUAAGAGUCUUUCCUUGCUUCUUCCAUACGUUUAUACUUGUGACAUUUCUUCUCUUCGACCUCGUCCAUCUCCCACGAGACCAAACCUUCCGUUCUCCUCUUGUCCUAAUUCAAUUCCGUUCUCCUGUUGUCCUUAGCAAGCAAUUAGGGCUAAAUCAAUUCCGCUCUCCUCUUGUCCUUAGCAAUUAGGGCAAGGAAAAAUGGGAAAAAUGAGAGAUUUGGUUUAGGGCAAGAAGAGAAUGGGAGAUUUGGUUUCUUGGACAAAUUUCAUUAUUUUUUUUUUCCUUGCAGGCCCAGGGUUUGUUCGGAGGACUCCAUUGGUGCUUGCUUCCACUUUCCCGAUGGUGCGCAAGUGAUCAAUUCACAUUCUUAUGCCUCUGGUCCAAACACCAGUGGUCCUUCCAUUGGACCUCCCCCUGUAAUUGCAAACAAAGCUUCUGCAAACCAGCCAGCUGCGAAUGAGGUUUAUUUUGUUUGGGAUGAUGACGUGAUGUCUGAGGAGGAAAGAAGAAUGUGAUCAGGAAAGUAUCAGGUUCAUGAUGUAACUAGCCAGGUAAGUUAAAACUACCUCUUUAACCUUUGGAGUUGGCUUGCGCAUCUAACGAGAUGGGUAGGUUUUAUGUUUCAUGUUUUCAGAUACUGUUGUUUAUGCGUUGUUACCUAUUUAAAGAGGGAUUUUUUCUGUAUGAUUUCCAAUUUUUGCCCUAGUUCAAGAAAACAAAGCAGUUAGUGAAAGGUGAUGUAUGUGUCUAUUAAUCGGAUAACUUUUAACUUUCUUUUCUGUCGUUGGAUGGGCAUGAUAUUUGGUUUUACUGAGAUGCUCUGGUUUACUUGCCAUUGCCACCUACAGUGUGGACGACAAAUGAUUCAAGUAGGUAUAUGCAUAUAUUUUUAUGCUGGUAGUUUAGUUAUUACUAUUUUGACAAGCUUUAUGGAAAGGACUCGAGGAUUCUUCAUCCUAGCGUCGUUCUCAGUUAAGAACAGUGUGUAUGUAACUGCUGUUCUUGAAAUCCUUAAUUUUUGUAGUUCGAGCUCUCCCUGUGCUUAAACUGAAAGCUAGGGGGGGUAUGAGUGGAACAAGAUGAUACCCAACAGAAUUUUUGCUAUUUGUAGCAUCCUUGCAAUUUAUUUUGACAGUCGAACAGUGAACUCAGACUUUUGGCCCAGGUCAGCUUCUUUUGCAAAGUUUGGUAUCUCCAUUGUAGGAUGAAGCUUUAAAAUAUAUGGUAUGUCCAAGUGAUUGGUAGUUAUGGUUCCCAUCUGAUCAUCGCUACUGUUGUUGAAUGUUUCAGAUGAGCUCGGUUGAUGCAGCUAUAGAUAAAAGGAUAUCAGAAAGCAGGCUUGUUUUAGAUCAACUGCACUCUGCACUGACAUUUAAACAGCAAGGAUUCCUGGUCUGAUUCUUACAUUGCAUGAUGUGGUAUAAAAAAGAGUUGUAUUCUUUGCAAGAAAUUGAAUUAGAAGGAAAGUCAUUCUUUAAUUGUGAAGUAAGACGUCUGGAGAAGGAGCAUAACUUUUCUUUUU